UUUCCGUAGGUGAACCUGCGGAAGGAUCAUUAUUGUAUAACCGAGGUGCGAGGGCUGUCGCUGACCCGAAAGGUCGUGCACGCCCGAGUGCUCUCACACACAUCCAUCUCACCCCUAUGUGCACCACCGCGUGGGUCCCCCUUUGGCUCGUUCGGAGGGGGGCUUACGUUUUCACACAAACUUUGUAUGCAGUGUAGAAUGUAUUUUUUGUUUUUGCGAUCACGCAAUCAAUACAACUUUCAACAACGGAUCUCUUGGCUCUC
Molecule: unclassified non-coding RNA, 263 nt
Filed under: plant metagenome
Description: partial contains small subunit ribosomal RNA, internal transcribed spacer 1, and 5.8S ribosomal RNA
Source: RNAcentral